AUAGGUCCGCCGCCGGGCGGACAAAGGCGUUUGCCCCUGCAUCCGUAGGCCAUUGGAGAUGCGGGGCGCGGGCGCCUUUUAUU
This 83-nucleotide non-coding RNA is filed under the name unclassified sequences. The record is from RNAcentral.